This 490-nucleotide ribosomal RNA is filed under the name uncultured bacterium. RNAcentral's name for it is "bacterial SSU rRNA". It matches the Rfam family "Bacterial small subunit ribosomal RNA", at positions 588 to 1084 of the family's 1533-position model. The record is from RNAcentral.
UCAGUUGUGAAAGUUUGCGGCUCAACCGUAAAAUUGCAGUUGAUACUGGGUGUCUUGAGUACAGUAGAGGCAGGCGGAAUUCGUGGUGUAGCGGUGAAAUGCUUAGAUAUCACGAAGAACUCCGAUUGCGAAGGCAGCUUGCUGGACUGUAACUGACGCUGAUGCUCGAAAGUGUGGGUAUCAAACAGGAUUAGAUACCCUGGUAGUCCACACAGUAAACGAUGAAUACUCGCUGUUUGCGAUAUACAGUAAGCGGCCAAGCGAAAGCGUUAAGUAUUCCACCUGGGGAGUACGCCGGCAACGGUGAAACUCAAAGGAAUUGACGGGGGCCCGCACAAGCGGAGGAACAUGUGGUUUAAUUCGAUGAUACGCGAGGAACCUUACCCGGGCUUGAAUUGCAACUGAAUGAUGUGGAGACAUGUCAGCCGCAAGGCAGUUGUGAAGGUGCUGCAUGGUUGUCGUCAGCUCGUGCCGUGAGGUGUCGCUUAAG